Molecule: long non-coding RNA, 446 nt
Organism: Cydia pomonella (codling moth)
Lineage: Eukaryota; Metazoa; Arthropoda; Insecta; Lepidoptera; Tortricidae
Exons: 2
Source: RefSeq, a predicted model, not a curated record
UAAGGUCAAAUUAUAGAAUGUUUCAUUGGCAUUCACAUAAUUUACAAAAUCUCCAAAUGUCUUCAUAAAUGGGUACUGCAAGUGCGUGAUGGGUGUCCUCCCCGAACUGGAUGGUGCAAGGGAUUCUUUACAGUAAAAGCAAUCUGCGGUGAGAGAUGACUGCAGGUAUUAUGUCAAAAGUUAAGGGGAUGCUGUAUUUGCUGUUAUAACAAAAGUUAAGUAUACUCCACACAUGUUCCUUGUUUCAACAAGUUGAAGUAUUUGAAAGUUUCAUGCAAGCAAAUUUGUUGAAAUCUGACAAUGUCAUGAAAUGGUAAUAAAUUAUUGGCACUAGUACAAUGAUUUGGUUAUUGGCUGUGAUAUACAUGCAUCCGCUUCAAAAACUACUAGUGUAUAAAUAAAAUACUUAUAAUAAUAAGUGGUACAAGACAUAUUUUUAGUUACAA